CAGGAGGGACAGCUACUGAAUCAUGUCUGUGACAAAUAUGAUGUCGUAAGGGAAAAUAAUGAUAUUACCUUACUAAUAGUGUCGUCUAAAACUGGUGCCAGAAGACUCGGUAAGGCCAGAGACACAAAUGUUAAUCGUCUUAAUCAGGCGUAAAGGGUUUGUAGGCUGCUUUGAAAAUAUUAAUUUAACAUAGCAAUUUCUUUAUAAUUUUUAAAUUGAAAAAAAUUUUUUAGUUUGUAUAAAAUUUAGGGAAAUGUAAAUUGGUAUGAAUUAAAGCUAGAAUCAAAUAGAGGAUAUUUACGAAAUAAUGCUUGGUCGAGGGCUGAUAUCCGAAGACCCCAAGUGGAGUUCCAAUGGCGUAAGCAUUUAUCCAUUAAUGAUUGACGCUGAGAAACGAAGGUGAGGAUAGGAAAUAGGAUUAGAUACCCAGAUACCCCUCUCUGUCAACGAUGAAUGGUAGUUUGUUAGUCUAAGGACUAGUGACGAAGUUAACACGUUAACCAUUCCGCCUUGUGAGUACGACUGCAAAGUUGAAAACAAAAAAAUUAGUCGGUCUCGACAGUGCAA
RNAcentral lists this ribosomal RNA (567 nucleotides) under Antrodiella onychoides. RNAcentral describes it as "partial small subunit ribosomal RNA". It matches the Rfam family "Bacterial small subunit ribosomal RNA", at positions 404 to 928 of the family's 1533-position model. The record is from RNAcentral. Lineage: Eukaryota; Fungi; Basidiomycota; Agaricomycetes; Polyporales; Steccherinaceae.